This is a small nucleolar RNA of Loxodonta africana (African savanna elephant), 128 nucleotides long. The record is from Ensembl. NCBI's taxonomy places the organism in Eukaryota, Metazoa, Chordata, Mammalia, Proboscidea, Elephantidae.
GUGCACAUUUCAUUGUCUUUUUUCUUCAUUCGAGAAAAAGGAUAUUUCUGAUGUGCCAGAUAAACCUUUGGAGGUAAAUUAGCAGCGUGGCUCACCUAGCCAUGGCUGUCAGUCACCUUCAGACAAGU